Molecule: transfer RNA, 16 nt
Filed under: Allobates talamancae (Talamanca rocket frog)
Lineage: Eukaryota; Metazoa; Chordata; Amphibia; Anura; Aromobatidae
Description: partial tRNA-Phe
Source: RNAcentral
AAAUUCUCCUAACACA